AGUGAACGCUGGCGGUAGGCCUAACACAUGCAAGUCGAACGGCAGCACAGUAAGAGCUUGCUCUUGCGGGUGGCGAGUGGCGGACGGGUGAGGAAUACAUCGGAAUCUACUUUUUCGUGGGGGAUAACGUAGGGAAACUUACGCUAAUACCGCAUACGACCUACGGGUGAAAGCAGGGGAUCUUCGGACCUUGCGCGAUUGAAUGAGCCGAUGUCGGAUUAGCUAGUUGGCGGGGUAAAGGCCCACCAAGGCGACGAUCCGUAGCUGGUCUGAGAGGAUGAUCAGCCACACUGGAACUGAGACACGGUCCAGACUCCUACGGGAGGCAGCAGCGGGGAAUAUUGGACAAUGGGCGCAAGCCUGAUCCAGCCAUACCGCGUGGGUGAAGAAGGCCUUCGGGUUGUAAAGCCCUUUUGUUGGGAAAGAAAAGCAGCAGGUUAAUACCCCGCUGUUCUGACGGUACCCAAAGAAUAAGCACCGGCUAACUUCGUG
This 492-nucleotide ribosomal RNA is filed under the name uncultured bacterium. RNAcentral's name for it is "partial 16S ribosomal RNA". It matches the Rfam family "Bacterial small subunit ribosomal RNA", at positions 29 to 507 of the family's 1533-position model. The record is from RNAcentral.